RNAcentral lists this ribosomal RNA (268 nucleotides) under uncultured bacterium. Its description in RNAcentral is "partial 16S ribosomal RNA". It matches the Rfam family "Bacterial small subunit ribosomal RNA", at positions 524 to 787 of the family's 1533-position model. The record is from RNAcentral.
UACGGGGGGAGCAAGCGUUGUUCGGAUUUACUGGGCGUAAAGGGCGCGUAGGCGGCCACUGCAAGUCAGUUGUGAAAUCUCCGGGCUUAACCCGGAAAGGUCAACUGAUACUGCAGGGCUAGAGUGCAGAAGGGGCAACUGGAAUUCUCGGUGUAGCGGUGAAAUGCGUAGAUAUCGAGAGGAACACCUGCGGCGAAGGCGGGUUGCUGGGCUGACACGUGACGCUGAGGCGCGAAAGCCAGGGGAGCGAACGGGAUUAGACGUACCC